ACUGUGUUUAACCACAACCAACAUGUUGGAUCUCUGUUUAGGGGUCAGUGCUCUAAAAUGAGUCUCUCUGGGGAGAGAGAGGAGGGGGGCCCUGCCUAUAAAAUGAGUCUCUCUGGGGAGAGAGAGGAGGGGGGCCCUGCCUAUAAAAUGAGUCUCUCUUGGGAGAGAAAGGAGGGGGGCCCUGCAUCUAAAAUGAGUCUCUCUGGGGAGAGAGAGGAGGGGGGCCCUGCCUCUAAAAUGAGUCUCUCUGGGGAACAUGACACCAAAGCUAAGAGUCCAAUCAGGCAGGAGAGACCAGCCUCCCCUGUUCCCAGCUGUGUGUCCAUGAAGAGUGACCGGUCUAUGAAUCCUCCUAUAGAGUUUAGAGAGGGAGACUUUUCUACUGAACAAAGACCAAUCAAGCAGGAGAGACCAGCCUCCCCUGUUCCCAGCUGUGUGUCCAUGAAGAGUGACGGGUCUAUGGGUCAACCUCUAUACUUUAGAGAGGGAGACUUUUCUACUGAACAAAGGUAAGAAGAACUCAUGGGUCCUGGUCAGUGAGUUAAACAACACUGUCUCUAGUCAUUUCUCCUCUCCCAUUUUCCCA
This is a long non-coding RNA of Oncorhynchus nerka (sockeye salmon), 586 nucleotides long. RefSeq lists it as uncharacterized. Lineage: Eukaryota; Metazoa; Chordata; Actinopteri; Salmoniformes; Salmonidae. The record is from RefSeq and is a predicted model, not a curated record. The transcript is spliced from 3 exons.